GUAUUAAUGUGGCUUUUUAUUUACAAAUUUAAAAAAGGAAUUAACAUUUGUAUUCAAAUUGAUAUUUCAUUAACACCCUGGAUACAUUUGCGUUCUUUAAUUUUCGCAGUUUUACACUAAAUCAUACUCAUUUUAAGAUGAAAUGGUUUUAUGACGCGAGGUUUUCAUGGUCGUAAACAUUAUUAUGUUUAUUUUUAUAUUCUCUAUUACACUAUGUUCUCCGAGAAACGAUUCUUUUAAGUAUCCACGGACAUCAUUUUAAUAAUAUUAAAUUACUGAUGCCGAUUGCUAAAAAAAUAAAAAAAAGGAAGGGGCGAGUUUAGAGUAAUUAUGAUUUUUAUUAGCGGUUCUCUCAACGUUUUAAACGAGCGUAGAAUUAUUAGAACUUUAGAUAGGCGCU
This is a non-coding RNA of Cinara cedri, 400 nucleotides long. Lineage: Eukaryota; Metazoa; Arthropoda; Insecta; Hemiptera; Aphididae. The record is from the annotation of a GenBank genome assembly.